AGUGGCGAACGGGUGAGUAAUACAUCGGAACGUGUCCUGGAGUGGGGGAUAGCCCGGCGAAAGCCGGAUUAAUACCGCAUACGCUCUAUGGAGGAAAGCGGGGGAUCUUCGGACCUCGCGCUCAAGGGGCGGCCGAUGGCAGAUUAGCUAGUUGGUGGGGUAAAGGCCUACCAAGGCGACGAUCUGUAGCUGGUCUGAGAGGACGACCAGCCACACUGGGACUGAGACACGGCCCAGACUCCUACGGGAGGCAGCAGUGGGGAAUUUUGGACAAUGGGGGCAACCCUGAUCCAGCAAUGCCGCGUGUGUGAAGAAGGCCUUCGGGUUGUAAAGCACUUUUGUCCGGAAAGAAAACUUCGCUCCUAAUACGGGUGGAGGAUGACGGUACCGGAAGAAUAAGCACCGGCUAACUACGUGCCAGCAGCCGCGGUAAUACGUAGGGUGCGAGCGUUAAUCGGAAUUACUGGGCGUAAAGCGUGCGCAGGCGGUUCGCUAAGACCGAUGUGAAAUCCCCGGGCUUAACCUGGGAACUGCAUUGGUGACUGGCGGGCUAGAGUAUGGCAGAGGGGGGUAGAAUUCCACGUGUAGCAGUGAAAUGCGUAGAGAUGUGGAGGAAUACCGAUGGCGAAGGCAGCCCCCUG
RNAcentral lists this ribosomal RNA (641 nucleotides) under Burkholderia sp. I15B-00816. RNAcentral describes it as "bacterial SSU rRNA". It matches the Rfam family "Bacterial small subunit ribosomal RNA", at positions 94 to 731 of the family's 1533-position model. The record is from RNAcentral. Lineage: Bacteria; Pseudomonadati; Pseudomonadota; Betaproteobacteria; Burkholderiales; Burkholderiaceae.